Molecule: transfer RNA, 69 nt
Filed under: Cucujoidea sp. 19 KM-2017
Lineage: Eukaryota; Metazoa; Arthropoda; Insecta; Coleoptera
Description: tRNA-Gln
Source: RNAcentral
UACAUUUUAGUAUAAGAAGUACAUAAAUUUUUGAAAUUUAAAGGAAUAAUUUAAUUUUAUUAAGUGUAA